GAACCAUUGGAAAAUAAGGUUGCAUCUCUGACUGAUGACCUCCUCUGAGCACUCACCCCUUUCCUUCCCAGUCCACCCCAAGGUUGAGAACAGCAGAGUGGCUAAUAAUCUGAGCGUCUUGGGACUGUGUGCUGACAAGCUGAAAACCUCUACCCUUGUCCCGUGCAGAAGAGUCCCUGACCUAAGCGAGGCUCCACCCUUUCCUGCCAGAGCCGCCUGACCAACCUCCCCCCACUUAAAAACAAUAUGUACUGAGAUACAGUUUGUAUGCCAUCACAUUCA
This is a long non-coding RNA of Peromyscus californicus insignis, 282 nucleotides long. RefSeq lists it as uncharacterized. The transcript is spliced from 2 exons. Lineage: Eukaryota; Metazoa; Chordata; Mammalia; Rodentia; Cricetidae. The record is from RefSeq and is a predicted model, not a curated record.